Molecule: ribosomal RNA, 329 nt
Filed under: uncultured eukaryote
Lineage: Eukaryota
Description: partial 18S ribosomal RNA
Rfam family: Eukaryotic small subunit ribosomal RNA
Source: RNAcentral
ACCUUAGAUGUUCUGGGCCGCACGCGCGCUACACUGAUGCAUUCAACGAGUCUAAAACCUGCUCUGAUAGGGGUGGGUAAUCUUUUGAAUGUGCAUCGUGAUUGGGAUAGAUGAUUGCAAUUUUUCAUCUUCAACGAGGAAUGCCUAGUAAACGCAAGUCAUCAGCUUGCAUUGAUUACGUCCCUGCCCUUUGUACACACCGCCCGUCGCUCCUACCGAUUGAAUGAUCCGAUGAAUAUCAUGGAUUGAGGAUGCAAGUAGGUUAGCCUAUCUUCAUCUUCGAGAAGUGAAGUAAAUCUUAUCAUUUAGAGGAAGGAGAAGUCGUAACA